GACGAACGCUGGCGGCGUGCUUAACACAUGCAAGUCGAACGGUGAAGCGCCUUCCUUUUUGGUGGGUGUGGAUGAGUGGCGAACGGGUGAGUAACACGUGAGUAACCUGCCCCCUUCUUCUGGAUAACCGCAUGAAAGUGUGGCUAAUACGGGAUAUUCUGGGUCUGUCGCAUGAUGGGUCUUGGAACGAUAUUGUUUCGGUGGGGGAUGGGCUCGCGGCCUAUCAGCUUGUUGGUGGGGUGAUGGCCUACCAAGGCGGUGAGGGGUAGCCGGCCUGAGAGGGUGGACGGUCACACGGGGAAGGAGAGGCGGAGAAGACUCCGACAGGAGGCAGCAGGGGGGAAUAGUGCACGAGGGGCGCAAGGAUGAUGCAGCGACGCGGCGUGAGAGAUGGAGGCCGUGGGGUUGAGAACCUCUGUCGCGAGUGAAGCAGGCCUGCCUCGUUUGUGGGUGGGUUGACGGUAGCUGGAGAAGAAGCGCCGGCUAACUACGUG
Molecule: ribosomal RNA, 494 nt
Filed under: uncultured bacterium
Lineage: Bacteria
Description: partial 16S ribosomal RNA
Rfam family: Bacterial small subunit ribosomal RNA
Source: RNAcentral